UUCAUGUUGUUCCUGGUCCACUCUUUCCUUUUAACCACAGUUUUGGGUGAAAGAUAAGGCUUAUGCCUCAUAAUUCUGCGGUAAAACCCAUGCUCAUGAGUGAUCUUGAUGAUAGUUGUCACGCUGACAUUACAUUGUAUCUCUUUGUGUGAAUGCUCCAGAGUUCUCGUGGACUGCGAACAAAGUCCCUCAGAAGAUUCCUUACUUGCCCCUGAUCCAACACCUUUGGCCUUCCAGGGCUUGGGAGCAAAUAAGUGUGUCCAUGGUGCACAUACUCUCGACACCAGCGCUUGAUUGUACACUUGGGACACUUAUAUUGUUUUGCAAGAUUGCUGAAUGAUUUCCCACUUUUGCGGGCUUCCACAACAGUUUGUUUGGUAGUGGGGGUGACCUGGGGUGCCAUUAUGGAAAAUAAUCAAAUAGUUAUAAGUACAUGCAUGAACAAUUCAAAAUUAUAGUUAUG
Molecule: small RNA, 463 nt
Filed under: Cryptococcus neoformans H99
Lineage: Eukaryota; Fungi; Basidiomycota; Tremellomycetes; Tremellales; Cryptococcaceae
Description: Cryptococcus neoformans var. grubii H99 hypothetical RNA
Source: RNAcentral